RNAcentral lists this ribosomal RNA (553 nucleotides) under uncultured bacterium. RNAcentral describes it as "partial 16S ribosomal RNA". It matches the Rfam family "Bacterial small subunit ribosomal RNA", at positions 355 to 920 of the family's 1533-position model. The record is from RNAcentral.
UGGGGAAUAUUGCACAAUGGGCGAAAGCCUGAUGCAGCAACGUCGCGUGAGUGAUGAAGGCCUUCGGGUUGUAAAGCUCUGUCUUUUGGGACGAUAAUGACGGUACCAAAGGAGGAAGCCACGGCUAACUACGUGCCAGCAGCCGCGGUAAUACGUAGGUGGCAAGCGUUGUCCGGAUUUACUGGGCGUAAAGGAUGCGUAGGCGGAUUUUUAAGUGAGAUGUGAAAACCCUAAGCUUAACUUGGGGACUGCAUUUCAUACUGGAAAUCUAGAGUGCGGGAGAGGAGAAUGGAAUUCCUAGUGUAGCGGUGAAAUGCGUAGAGAUUAGGAAGAACACCAGUGGCGAAGGCGAUUCUCUGGACCGUAACUGACGCUGAGGCAUGAAAGCGUGGGUAGCAAAACAGGAUUAGAUACCCUGGUAGUCCACGCCGUAAAACGAUGAGUACUAGGUGUAGGAGGUAUCGACCCCUUCUGUGCCGCAGUUAACACAAUAAGUACUCCGCCUGGGAAGUACGAUCGCAAGAUUAAAAACUCAAAAUGAAUUGACGGGGUC